AUCGGAUGGUUUGUUUUAGCCUGAGCUAUGUGUUAUUGCAUAUUCAUAGCUACUUGCUAAAACAUACCAAUCGAG
Molecule: microRNA precursor, 75 nt
Organism: Caenorhabditis briggsae
Lineage: Eukaryota; Metazoa; Nematoda; Chromadorea; Rhabditida; Rhabditidae
Rfam family: mir-355 microRNA precursor family
Source: Rfam